GCUUACGGCCAUACCACCCUGAACACGCCCGAUGUCGCUAAGCAAGCUAAGCAGGGUCGGGCCUGGUUAGUACUUGGAUGGGAGACCGCCUGGGAAUACCAGGUGCUGUAAGCU
This 114-nucleotide ribosomal RNA is filed under the name Dicentrarchus labrax (European seabass). Lineage: Eukaryota; Metazoa; Chordata; Actinopteri; Moronidae. The record is from RNAcentral.